Molecule: ribosomal RNA, 393 nt
Filed under: uncultured bacterium
Lineage: Bacteria
Description: partial 16S ribosomal RNA
Rfam family: Bacterial small subunit ribosomal RNA
Source: RNAcentral
ACACGUAAGCCUCGAGCGUUGUUCGGAAUUAUUGGGCGUAAAGGGCAUGUAGGCGGUUUUGCAAGCUUGGUGUGAAAUCCCGGAGCUUAACUCCGGAAUUGCGUUGAGAACUGCAUAACUAGAGUCACUGAGGGGCAAUCAGAAUUCCAGGUGUAGGGGUGAAAUCUGUAGAUAUCUGGAAGAAUACCAAUGGCGAAGGCAGGUUACCAGCAGAUGACUGACGCUGAGGUGCGAAGGUGCGGGGAGCAAACAGGAUUAGAUACCCUGGUAGUCCGCACAGUCAACGAUGUACAUUGGAUGUCUGAACAUAAGUUUGGGUGUCGAAGCAAACGCGAUAAAUGUACCGCCUGGGAAGUAUGCCCGCAAGGGUGAAACUCAAAUGAAUUGACGGGG